UGGCUGGUGAUGAUUCAGGUCCGAAAGGAUCUUAGCGGAUUUCGGUGAGGUGGACUUGUCUGCCGUUGAUCGAUUCAUAUUGUUACACACACUGAAGCCU
Triticum aestivum (bread wheat) is the source of this 100-nucleotide non-coding RNA. The record is from Rfam. NCBI's taxonomy places the organism in Eukaryota, Viridiplantae, Streptophyta, Magnoliopsida, Poales, Poaceae.